UACAAUAGGAAAAUACAAUUAAUGUCUAAUAAUCUGUAUUUCUAAAAUUAGGGGAUUCCAACACUCCUCAAGUUAGUUCAUGGACAUUUCACAUGCCCAACUUGCAAACUAAAGUGUGUAAUACUUUGCUGCUUAGAUGCUUUGUAAAUACAUUAGCCAACUACUCCUUCGAUGUCACAUAAGUCAGUCAAUGAAACGUCUACAAUCUUCUCUUUUAUGAAGUGCCAAUCAAUCUCUAUAUGCGUGGUCCUAUUAUGUUGAAUUGGAUCGUGGACAAUAUUAAUAGCAACUUUGUUGUCAUAAAAUAAAGAUAAACUAUUGGUCUCUGACAACCUCAACAUCUCCAACUUUUGCAACCACAACAACUCACAGAUGCCUUGUGCCAUAGUCCAAUAUUUUGCUUCUGCAUUUGAUUUACUUGUCACAUUUUGUUUCUUGCUUCUUUAAGUAACUAGGUUACCGCUAACAAAGGUGCAAUAACCUAAUGUAGACCUUUAUCAUCAAGAGAUUUAGUCCAAUUUGUGUCUGUAAAGGCUUUUGGAGAUGACCAUGCUUUGAAAAAAGAAGUCCUUUUCAAGGAGCAGAUUUUAGAUACCUCAAAAUGUGGAAAACAACUUCUAAGUGAGUUGCUCGAGGAUCAUGUAUAUAUUGACUUACUAGACUCACUCCAUAAGUUGCUUGGUCUAGUGUGUGAUGUAUAUAAAUUGAUCUCCUAACCAACUUUUGAUAUCUUACUAAAUCAACUAAUUCCUCAACUCCUACUUGUGGUUUAUGAUUAGUUUCAGUAGGAGAUUUUGCAGGUUUACAGCUCGAUAAGCUUGUUUCUUUUAUAAGGUCUAAAAUGUACUUCCUUUGAAAAAUGAAGAUUCCUUUAUUUGAUUUAACAACUUCUAUCCCAAGUACCUUAAUCUACCCAAGUCU
This 921-nucleotide unclassified non-coding RNA is filed under the name Hevea brasiliensis (rubber tree). Lineage: Eukaryota; Viridiplantae; Streptophyta; Magnoliopsida; Malpighiales; Euphorbiaceae. The record is from RNAcentral.